RNAcentral lists this ribosomal RNA (301 nucleotides) under uncultured bacterium. RNAcentral's name for it is "partial 16S ribosomal RNA". It matches the Rfam family "Bacterial small subunit ribosomal RNA", at positions 509 to 807 of the family's 1533-position model. The record is from RNAcentral.
CAGUAGCCGCGGUAAUACGGAGGAUCCAAGCGUUAUCCGGAAUCAUUGGGUUUAAAGGGUCCGUAGGCGGUUUAGUAAGUCAGUGGUGAAAGCCCAUCGCUCAACGGUGGAACGGCCAUUGAUACUGCUGAACUUGAAUUAUUAGGAAGUAACUAGAAUAUGUAGUGUAGCGGUGAAAUGCUUAGAGAUUACAUGGAAUACCAAUUGCGAGGGCAGGUUACUACUAAUUGAUUGACGCUGAUGGACGAAAGCGUGGGGAGCGAACAGGAUUAGAGACCCGCGUAGUCCCUGUCUCUUAUAC